AGAUGGAGGUGGCUCUGUCCUUACAGUUGCGACUGCAUGUCACUCUAUUCUUAGACUUUUGAAGAUCACACUUGGUGUCCCUAGCUAGUCUUAGAAUGGUGAGAGUGGAGUUUUGGAUGGAGUGUGACAGCGAUGACACCCCUACCAACUCUCUUGCAUGCCAUUCUCUUUUCUUAAUAAUUGGGCUUGUCUAUAUGCACUUGUUGGUAUAGGUGGUGGUCCUCGCUUACUGGGUAAGUUGUUGAAGAUCGAAAGAAGCUGAUGGAGCACCUGUCAAGGGAUUUGCAACUCUCUCAUGUCCUGGUUUUUCUGAAUUAUCAACCAUGGAAAGAGUUGGAAAAUGUGAAGUUGAACUGACUUUUAAAUUUUUUAAAAACACCGUUUCUGCAGUAAAAAUAAACAGGUUAUGCAUGGUGGCAAUUUAUUGAGCAAACUUGGGAGGUGAUAUAAUAAAUGCAACAGUGAAAUUGGCUACUCUU
This 479-nucleotide long non-coding RNA is filed under the name Populus trichocarpa (black cottonwood). RNAcentral describes it as "long non-coding RNA (PTRI_LNC003043)". Lineage: Eukaryota; Viridiplantae; Streptophyta; Magnoliopsida; Malpighiales; Salicaceae. The record is from RNAcentral.